RNAcentral lists this long non-coding RNA (716 nucleotides) under Cyanistes caeruleus (blue tit). RNAcentral's name for it is "lncRNA (ENSCCEG00000012785.1)". The record is from RNAcentral. Lineage: Eukaryota; Metazoa; Chordata; Aves; Passeriformes; Paridae.
AUGGGAGAAAAUGAGAAGGAGAAACACAGAGUUUCUACAUCCAUGGUAGCUGAUGAGCUUUGGGCCACUCACAUCGCUGUUGUUAAACAAGGCAAGGUGUUGAACGUGUCAAAAGAAAAUGGUCACCACCAUCUCCCAAGGGACAGGUGUUCAAAUCAAGGAAAAUUCAAAGUACACAUGAGGAAAGCAGAUUUCUAGUCUUCUAAGAUGGAAAGACAAGGAAAAUGAAACACUUCAUAUCGAUCUGAAUAGUGGCAGUGACCCUCACUCCUGGAUCAGGUCAGGGUCAGUUUUCUCAGUGAAGAUCAGGACAAUUUUCAAGAAGAGCCCUUGGAAGCAUGCCACAGGUGAGCUGUCUCUCCUUGUCUUCUGUUCUUGCUCUCUCCAGGACAAGAAUAUUCUCUCUCUAAGCCCAUGGGGCCCACUGGAGGUACCCAGGCAGCACCAAGUCUUGUAUGGCUUGCAAAGGUCACAGGAGAAGCAGAGAAGCUUUUGUGCUGCUGGCAGAACUAAGGCACCUGGUUUAAAAUUGACUGAGAAAUGCCACUAGGAACAACAGACCUGAAUUCUUCAUAGGCAUACCCAGAACAGGUUCCCCAUCCAUGUUCACAGCUUUCAUUUUCUCAGCUGCAGGUAGCUCUGGCUAGGAAAAACUUUGCAUUUCUGUGUAUAAUGAUAUGAAUAAACACUAUUCUAUGUAAAGAAAACUGUAGAAA